CUUCACAGAAGUAGAGCAAGACCAGAGAGAACCCUGGGAGUAGUUGUAAGCUGCCAUGUGGGCACUGCUCCCCGAAAGAGCGGUCAUAUCCAGAAAAGAUACUCCCAAGAAUGGCUCUCAGGGAAGAUACUACAGUUUAAUUGCCUACAUGAAGGAAGAGGCAAUUACAGCAGAGCUAUUGGAGUUUCGGCUUUUAGGUGGUGAACGUGUCGGCUUAGCGAAGCUGCAGUACCAGGUCCUGCCACGAGAGGACACGGAGCCGCCGGACACCCCCUCUUCAAUCAAAUCUGCAAGAGGUCAAAGGCGCCCCCUCCUCUAAGCUGAGUCUGCAUCUGCGCGCGCAGCUGGAAGUCCUCCGCAAUCCUCACCUCCAAACGGGCUCCUUUUUCCUCCGAAAGGUGAUCUGGAAGUACCCGGAGGUCUUAAGUGAUUAAUGAUUGCCAGUCAUAACGGACGGCAGCGUUUAAAG
This 469-nucleotide long non-coding RNA is filed under the name Meriones unguiculatus (Mongolian gerbil). RNAcentral's name for it is "lncRNA (ENSMUGG00000002587.1)". Lineage: Eukaryota; Metazoa; Chordata; Mammalia; Rodentia; Muridae. The record is from RNAcentral.